GAACAUACCAAUUGUUGCCUCGGCGGAUCAGCCCGCUCCCGGUAAAACGGGACGGCCCGCCAGAGGACCCCUAAACUCUGUUUCUAUAUGUAACUUCUGAGUAAAACCAUAAAUAAAUCAAAACUUUCAACAACGGAUCUCUUGGUUCUGGCAUCGAUGAAGAACGCAGCAAAAUGCGAUAAGUAAUGUGAAUUGCAGAAUUCAGUGAAUCAUCGAAUCUUUGAACGCACAUUGCGCCCGCCAGUAUUCUGGCGGGCAUGCCUGUUCGAGCGUCAUUUCAACCCUCAAGCCCCCGGGUUUGGUGUUGGGGAUCGGCGAGCCCUUGCGGCAAGCCGGCCCCGAAAUCUAGUGGCGGUCUCGCUGCAGCUUCCAUUGCGUAGUAGUAAAACCCUCGCAACUGGUACGCGGCGCGGCCAAGCCGUUAAACCCCCAACUUCUGAAUGUUGACCUCGGAUCAGGUAGGAAUACCCGCUGAACUUAAGCAUAUCAA
RNAcentral lists this ribosomal RNA (490 nucleotides) under Fusarium oxysporum f. sp. ciceris. RNAcentral's name for it is "eukaryotic LSU rRNA". The stretch from base 122 to 275 matches the Rfam family "5.8S ribosomal RNA". The record is from RNAcentral. Lineage: Eukaryota; Fungi; Ascomycota; Sordariomycetes; Hypocreales; Nectriaceae.